UUUCCGCCCCAAAGCCGUCGCGCUUCCGCGGUGGGUGUCAGGUGUCGGCUAGGGAAGGUGCGAGAGGCUCCGGGCGGCUGGCUGUUCCUCGAGCGGGGACGCUCCUGUCGCCGGUGAGCACCACGCGGCACCUCACAAUGCGCCGCCGCCCGAGGUUGCGGCGGCCGCACUUCCCCUUGCGCGGCGUCCGUGGCGGCGCUCGGCGGGGACCGAGGCGCCCGUGCGUGCGGGGUGUGCCGCCCGACGCGGGGCUUAGGACGCGGCCGCUCGGGUCGGUGCCUUCGGUGGCCACAAGUUACUCGGCCUCUUGCUGCUGUUCUGCGAAGUGAGAGUAAGACCUGCUCCCUGGGGUCGUGUCGACUGCUCUUUGGAUGGAGAAACGGAGGCACAGAGCCACAAACUUACAAGGAGAAGGAGCAAGACUUGGUCGCCAGCAACACAGCUUGGGAAACCCUUGUCUCCUGAGGCCAUUCCUGUUUCUAUGACUACACUACCUUAUCAGGAGCUGUUCUUGCAAAAUACUAAGAAAAGGACACACCGCCCAAACACAAGCAGAGAAAACGUGCAACCUAAGAAACAUAGGAAGAGCUGUUACAUGCCUGACCGGAGAGAUGAACAUUAAAGCAGUGGGUUGGGGUUUUGUUUAUCAGGUUGAUAUUUUGUGAGCAAAACUGAGAAAGCAGGGUUAGAGGAAGUGAAGGGAAAGCCACUGGUAGACAAGCUGUGAGCUGCUUCACCCUUGCUAGAAGGUAGUUUCGAAAUAUGUAUCAAAAAUUAAACCACCUGGGGCGCCUGGGUGGCUCAGUCAGUUGAGCGACUGCCUUCGGCUCAGGUCAUGAUCCUAGAGUCCCGGGAUCGAGUCCCGCAUCGGGCUCCCUGCUCAGCAGGGAGUCUGCUUCUCCCUCUGACCCUCCUCCCUCUUGUGCUCUCUCUCAUUCUCUCUCGCAAAUAAAUAAAAUCUUUAAAAAAAAAAAAUUAAACCACCUGUAGUCUGAUCUAACAAAAUUCAGGAAUUCGUGCUAAGGAGAUAACCAGGCACCCAAAGAUGUGUGCAUAAGGACACCCUUCCUUUGUCUCCCCCUUCCUUCCACAAAUACUUGUUGACUGUCUAUUACAUGCCAAGCGCUGCUCUUGGCAUUGGAAGUAUGGUAGUGAACUACAUAGACAAAAAUCCUUGUCCUCCUGUGAUUUAAAUUCUGCACAGAGAAAAGACAAUAAACAAGAUAAAUAUAUAAAAUAAAUAGUCCAUGAGAAUAAGUGCAAAAAGAGGGAAAUUGAGAAAUAUAAAAGGGGAUAGGACAGGUGGUGGGGAGCAGCAGGGGUUGACAUUUUUUUUUUAAUUUUUUUUAAAGAUUUUAUAUAUUUAUUUGAGAAAGAAUGAGAGAGAACACAGAGGGAGAGAGCACAAAGCGAGAGGGAGAAGCAGACUCGCCACCGAGCAGGGAGCCCAACGCUGGACUCGAUCCCAGGACUCCGAGAUCAUGACCCGAGCCAAAGGCGGACGCCUAACCAACUGAGCCACCCAGGCGCCCCAUGGGGUUGACAUUUUAAAUAUGGUGUGCAGGAAAGGCUUCCUUGGAAAGAUGACUUUUUAGGAAAGACUCAAAGCAGACGAGGAAGUUAGUUGCGCAGAUGGUGGGUUGUUGAAAUGCAUCAAGCCAGAACCUUGAGGGCCCCCAUCAUGAGUUUGGACUUUGGUCUCACAGUGAUGCAAGCCUGUGAAGCGUUUCAACAGGGAAUUGCUCUCAUGGAUCCGGAUGUUAGGAGGACGGCCAGCGGCAGCAUGGGAACAAGCUGGAAAGGGACAGGUGCACCGUGGGGAGACCAGUGAGGAGGCACCGUAACUCUGGCGAGAAACUCCGACCCUGACCAGAAGUGAGGAGCUGUGGGUGGAUCUGAGUAUGAUUUUCGGAAGCAGAAUAGUAGGCUCCACGUCCGAUAUGGGGAUCAAACUCAUGACCCUGAGAUGAAGAGUGGCGACUCAGCCAGGAGCCCCAAGCAGGGGCCGACUGGAGUGGAAUUCUCAGGACAUGGAGGUGCCCCACUGCGCGAUUGUGAAAUUGGUUUCGCUGGAAUCGUGUGACAAUCGCCUCCUACAUACCACAGGGAUAUUCAAAUUGGAUGACGCCCCGCACAGAUCUGCUACUCGCAAAAUCAUCUGGCGCACGAUCCUGGAAAAGGCUGGUGUCCAAAUAGGGAAUACGCUCACCCACAGUCAUUGUGCAAGUUGUCAGGAUGUGUGUAUCUACAAAGAUGGUUGAGAGCCUCGAGGUUUUUCUUACUCUAUUUUAGGAGAAGAAUCCAUUUCUGUGUUAACACCAGAACUGCUUAAGAAUCAACACUUUUCUAGGUGUCAGGUGAUAUCUUACUUGAAGGAAACACAUUUUGUAGAAAUUAAGACUUUCAGGAAUCAUUUAAGGAAAUAUACCAUAGUAGCUACCAUUUCCAAUAAAAUGAUAAAAAGCAGUUAGCUGAGGGGAGGUUGGGAUGAAUAGGCAGAGCACAGAGGAUUUUUAGGGCAGUAAAACUACUCCGUGAGGUACUAUAAUGGUAAGUACAUGUCAUUAUACAUUUGUCCAAACCCAUAGGAUGUGUAACACCAAGAACAACCCUAAAGUAAACAGUGGGCUUUGGGUGAUAAUGAAGUGUCAGUAUAAGUUCAACAGUUGUAACUAACGUAACCAUUCUGGAGGGGGUGUUGAUAAUGCAGGAGCUUAUGCAUGCAAAGGGUAGGGGAUGAGUAGAAAAUCUCUGUACCUACCUCCCAGUUUUGCUAUGAACCUAAAACUGCUCUAAGAAAAUAGUCUCUCUUUUUUUUUGAGAGAGAGAGAGAGAGGAAGUGUAUGCGUGCAUGCAAGGGGGGAGGGCCAGAAGGGGAGAGAGAGAGAGAGAGAGAAUCUUUUUUUUUUUUUUUAAGAUUUUAUUUAUUUGAGAGAGAGAAUGAGAGAGAGAGAGCACAUGAGAGGGGGGAGGGUCAGAGGGAGAAGCAGACUCCCUGCUGAGCAGGGAGCCCGAUGCGGGACUCGAUCCCGGGACUCCAGGAUCAUGACCUGAGCCGAAGGCAGUCGCUUAACCAACUGAGCCACCCAGGCACCCAAGAGAGAGAAUCUUAAGCAGGCUCCAUACCCAAUGUGGAACCCAGUGAGGGGCUUGAUCUCAUGACCCCAAGAUCAUGACCUGAGCCAAAAUCAAGAGUCGGAAGCUUAACCAACUGAGCCAUGAAGGCACCCAAUAGUCUCUUUCUUUUAAAGCAGUUAAUAAAUAGUCUGAUAAUACUCUGAGAAACACACAUCAAGAAUAAAAAAAUCUAAAAAAAAAUUGGGGUGCCCGGGUGGUUCAGUCAGUUAAGCAUCCGACUUUUGAUCUCAGCUCAGGUCUUGAUCUCAGGGUGGUGAGUCCAGACCCCACGUUGGACUCCAUGCUGGCCAUGAAGCCUACUUAAAAAACAAAAAACAAAAACAGAAAAAAACCCUAAAAAUGUUCCAGUCAACAUACAAGAUACAUUUUUUAGCAACAGCUGGAGACAGACUAAAUUUCAAGGGCACCCCAUGAAAGAUGCUUCCAUCUCACAGAGGAACGUCCUGUGGGAUGCUCUGUUUUCAUAACUAGGGCCAAAAACAAAAUCCAAUUAAAAUAACAAAUCUCUUUGCAGGAUGCCACGUAAAAUUAGUGGCUUCCUUGUUACAAGACUAAGAAAAGCAUUUUUAGGAUGUAAAAAUUCCCAGUGAAGUAGUAGAAAUAUUACCAGUUUCGCUAUGGCUUCGGAAAUAACAUCCUUCAAUUUAAUGUGAUGCAACUUGUAAUACUUAGACAAGGCUUCGGCAAUACUGGAUUUUCCCACAGCAGGAGGACCCAGAAUGCAGAUCUUGAUCGGCUGCAAAAGGAGAACAAGGACCAUCCAGUGAGUGGUGAACAAGCUGUAGCUCGACAGAGUGUUUUUCAUGUCAGGGGGUGCCUUUCCUGAACAUCUCGGGGUCCUGCAGGCUAACUCUCCUCUGUCAAGUCUCUAGAGUCACUUCCUCCAUGGCCGGCCUCUGUGGUCAGUGCCACAUCGUCCUCGCAGCACUGCUCCCCAAUCAGGGAGUGGCCCUUCCUGUUCAUUCGUUCAGCAGGGACUUAUUGAGCAUCUACUAUGUGCACCGACCAACCAUGGGGGACACAACGCUCAAUGAGAUGUGCUCUGGACAUACUAGAAGUACUAAAAGAACAAAGUACUAAAAGUACUAAAAACAAAGUACUAAAAAGUACUAAAGAACAAAGUACUUGAGCAUUACACACUACCAUGUUACUCUUUAUAAAAAAUUUUUUAUUUAAAAAUCAAUUUUCAAUUUAAUUAACAUAUAGUGUACUGAAGUACUGAAGUACUAGAGUACUCAAGCAUUACACAAAAGUAUUAAAAGUACUAAAGAACAAAGUACUUGAGCAUUACACACUACUAUAUUACUUCUUUUUAAAAAUUUUUACUUAAAAUUCAAUUUAGUUAACAUAUACUGUAUUAUUAGCUUCAGAGGUAGAGUUCAGUGAUUCAUCAGUUGCAUAGAACACCAGUACUCAUUUCAUCCCAUGUCCUCCUAAUGCCCAUCACCCAGGUACCCCAUCCCCCGACCUACCUCCCCUCCAGCAACCCUCAGUUUGUUUUCUAGAGUUAAGAGCCUCUUAUGGUUUUUCUCCCCUUCUGAUUUCAUCUUAUUUUAUUUUUCCUUCCCUUCCCCAACGUUCAUCUGUUUUGUUUCUUAAAUUCCACAUAUGAGUCAUAUUACUCUUACAAAGACAACAAAGACAGAAUUUCUGGUCCAGUGUGCGGGGGCUUAGAUUAUUGCCUCAUGAAUAUUGUUUCUGGACUGACUGGGUUUUUAAUCAUACUUUACUUUUUAGCACAGUUAAUUUAUUCUAGUUUUUAAAAAUAUACUCAUCAAAAAAAAAAAAAAAAAAAAGCCCCACCAUUUCUUCUGCCAAAACUUGCUUGAAUGCUCCAGAAACUGACAUUUGUAACCAGGGAGUAAAUGUUUAUUUCCAACAGAAUUCAAAAUAUCAGUAGCAGUCAUUUCUUGCAAAAUGAUCCAAACAGUUGUGGAACUGAAGCCUCGUAUUUUGUAAGGCAUAUUAAUAACCAAAAUCAGGCUGAUGGGAAGAAUUUCCAUUGGCAGAGUGUCCAUGUGCUUAAAGGUCAUAUAAUUUCAGCCACCAAGUUGGUUGUGGUUAUUAUUACUACCAUUUGACAGACGAGGAGACCACGGCUGUGAAGGAAAUAAACAGGGACAUUGCAGGGGGGCUGGGUGAGGACGGUGAACAUGACUGGUCUUAUCUGGUGAGGGAUCCUUUCGGGACAAUGGUGAUGACCAAGAUGGCGUGCGGUGGAAGGGUGUCGGAAAAAGCAGCUCAAGCAGAGUCUUGAUGGGCAGGGCUGUGCUCCUGGGUGGGCCUGGUGCAUUCACCAUGGCCUGAGGUCCAGCUCUCAACUGAGCAUGUUCACGAGCACCAUUUUGUCCACACACCGAUGGCAGAUCUGUCUCUUGGGGUAGGCACACCUCAGCCAGGUGAGAAACCAGAACGGCAGUUUAUUCACUUAAUACUGAGAAGUCUGACUACCCCUGAACUCCGAACUCCAAGUGCACUUGUCUGGUACAUUUGUUCCCUCAGAGUAGGCAGGCAUGGAGGGUUGUUGAUGAGCAUCAUUUGGAACAUGAAGAGUUAGAGGAAUGGGCUAUUUAGUGGCAUCCGGUCACGGUAGCUUGAUGCAUCUGUCUGCAGCAGGGACCACCUUGCCUUGCUAAGGGGACCGGAAUCAUGGAAGCCCUUGGCUUAAGACUCCAUGUUUUGGGAUGUCACUGGUAUGGCACAGUCUGCCUUAUCCUGGGUAGUUUCUGUCCUAUGCAUCUACGCUGACCAACGUCCCCAGGGAUGGAUAGACUCUUCAGUUUUUAGAGAUGCUUGGGGCGCCUGGGUGGCUCAUCAGUUAACCGUCUGCCUUCGAUUCAGGUCAUGAUCCCAGGGUCCUGCUCAGUGGGGAGUCUGCUUCUCCCUCUCCCUCUGCCCCCUCCCCCUGCUUGUGCUCUCUCUCUCUCUCUGUCUCAAAUAAAUAAAUAAAAUCUUUAAAAAAAAUUUUUUUUAGAGAUGCUUAUUCCCUCUAUCAUGUUCUGUCCAGUGUUGCUAAUCGGGAACCAUGUUAUUUCUUUAAGGUGUCAUGUCCUUGUACCCUAACUGUGUUGUUUUCCAUUUGGACCCACAGAGGACAACACUAGUCUCACCACUUGAGUUGGGUCUUGUGUGUCUCAGGAUAGGCUCCAAGUACUUAAGAUGGGUAUUUCGGAUGCUAAAGACAUCACUGUUUCCUUUGCUGAGAGGCACAUCUCGUACUUACUCUUUUUUUUUUUUUUAAAGAUUAUUUAUUUAUUUAUUUAUUUAUUUAUUUAUUUAUUUAUUUAUUUAUUUAUUUGACAGAGACAC
Molecule: long non-coding RNA, 6447 nt
Organism: Mirounga angustirostris (Northern elephant seal)
Lineage: Eukaryota; Metazoa; Chordata; Mammalia; Carnivora; Phocidae
Exons: 5
Source: RefSeq, a predicted model, not a curated record